GAUGAACGCUGGCGGCGUGCUUAACACAUGCCAGUCGAACGAUGAAGCCCAGCUUGCUGGGUGGAUUAGUGGCGAACGGGUGAGUAACACGUGAGUAACCUGCCCUUAACUCUGGGAUAAGCCUGGGAAACUGGGUCUAAUACCGGAUAGGAGCGUCCACCGCAUGGUGGGUGUUGGAAAGAUUUAUCGGUUUUGGAUGGACUCGCGGCCUAUCAGCCUGUUGGUGAGGUAAUGGCUCACCAAGGCGACGACGGGUAGCCGGCCUGAGAGGGUGACCGGCCACACUGGGACUGAGACACGGCCCAGACUCCUACGGGAGGCAGCAGUGGGGAAUAUUGCACAAUGGGCGCAAGCCUGAUGCAGCGACGCCGCGUGAGGGAUGACGGCCUUCGGGUUGUAAACCUCUUUCAGUAGGGAAGAAGCGAAAGUGACGGUACCUGCAGAAGAAGCACCGGCUAACUACGUG
RNAcentral lists this ribosomal RNA (466 nucleotides) under uncultured bacterium. RNAcentral's name for it is "partial 16S ribosomal RNA". It matches the Rfam family "Bacterial small subunit ribosomal RNA", at positions 28 to 507 of the family's 1533-position model. The record is from RNAcentral.